RNAcentral lists this ribosomal RNA (349 nucleotides) under Scymnus secula. Its description in RNAcentral is "partial large subunit ribosomal RNA". The record is from RNAcentral. Lineage: Eukaryota; Metazoa; Arthropoda; Insecta; Coleoptera; Coccinellidae.
AGUAGGGCCUGCCCACUGAAAUUUUAAAGGGCCGCAGUAUUUUAACUGUGCAAAGGUAGCAUAAUCAUUAGUUUUUUAAUUGAAAGCUGGAAUGAAUGGUUUGAUGAAAAAAUAUCUGUUUCAAUAUUAAUUUUUUAAAACUUUAUUUUUAAGUUAAAAAGCUUAAAUUUGUUUAAAAGACGAGAAGACCCUAUAGAGUUUUAUUAAUAGUAAAAUUUUUACUUUAAGAAUUUAUUUUUAAAAAUUUUUUUAUUAAUUUAAUUGGGGUGAUUAAAAAAUUAAAAAAACUUUUUUUAAAUAAGUACAUUUAUUUAUGAUUAUUUGAUCCAUAAAAUGUGAUUAUAAGAUU